AUGGCCGGACCAUCUCUCCCUACGCCACCGCCGGUGGAGGAGCCACAGACGGGGGCUGCAAAGUCGGGGACGACGGUCGAUGCCCUCACCGUGGACAUGCUCCGCGACAUUCUCCGUCGCCUCUCCCUCGCCGACCUUCUCCGUGCCGCCCUCGCCUGCCACCGCUGGCGCCGCGUAGCCGCACGCUGCCUCCCCCGCACCGCUCCUCUCCUCGGCUACUUCUUCCACCCCACCGCCACCGGUUUGCCGCCGCCCAUGCCCAAGUCAUCCAAGGAAAUUGACACCCCUGCCGUCUUCGCUCCCUUGGACGCCUCCGCCCCGAACCUCUCCCUCGACUUCGCUCCGGAGGCCUCCCGCUUCGUGCUCCACGACUGCCACCAAGGCCUCCUGCUUCUCGAACCGCUCGGGUCGCUCCCCAAGGGGAUCCUCCCACGCUUCCUCGUCAUCGACCCGGCCACCCGCCGCCGCCGUCGCGCGACACGGUGCCCGACGACCACCGCUGGCGCCGCUCCAGGUACUACGUCGGCUCCGCACUGCUUCCCGCGCGCACCCGAGCAAGCUCUGCUUCGAGGUCGUCUGCUUCGCCAUCGACGACGGGCACCCGCGCGCCUGGGUCGCGUCCGUGGACGACGGCCGAUGCAGCUGGCGCGCGCUCCCGCAGACCAUGGAGGUAGAGGUCGGUUUUGA
Molecule: ribosomal RNA, 687 nt
Filed under: Triticum aestivum (bread wheat)
Lineage: Eukaryota; Viridiplantae; Streptophyta; Magnoliopsida; Poales; Poaceae
Description: partial small subunit ribosomal RNA
Source: RNAcentral